CACAGUGUAGCAAUACAUGGGUGGCGACCGGCAAACGGGUGCGAAACACGUACGCAACCUUCCUUCAGGCGGGGAAUAGCCCAGAGAAAUUUGGAUUAAUACCCCAUAAUAUUUUGAGAUGGCAUCAUCUUAUUAUUAAAGCUACGGCACCUGGAGAUGGGCGUGCGGCUGAUUAGGUGGUUGGCGGGGUAAUGGCCCACCAAGCCUACGAUCAGUAGCUGAUGUGAGAGCAUGAUCAGCCACACGGGCACUGAGACACGGGCCCGACUCCCACGGGAGGCAGCAGUAAGGAAUAUUGGUCAAUGGACGCAAGUCUGAACCAGCCAUGCCGCGUGGAGGAUGAAGGUCCUCUGGAUUGUAAACUUCUUUUAUCUGGGACGAAAAAAGGGUUUUCUAACUCGUCUGACGGUACCAGAUGAAUAAGCACCGGCUAACUCCGUGCCAGCAGCCGCGGUAAUACGGAGGGUGCAAGCGUUAUCCGGAUUCACUGGGUUUAAAGGGUGCGUAGGCGGGCAUUUAAGUCAGUGGUGAAAUACCUGAGCUUAACUUGGGAACUGCCAUUGAUACUAUUUGUCUUGAAUGUCGUGGAGGUUAGCGGAAUAUGUCAUGUAGCGGUGAAAUGCUUAGAUAUGACAUAGAACACCUAUUGCGAAGGCAGCUAACUACGCGAAUAUUGACGCUGAGGCACGAAAGCGUGGGGAUCAAACAGGAUUAGAUACCCUGGUAGUCCACGCCCUAAACGAUGAUUACUCGACAUUAGCGAUACACUGUUAGUGUCUGAGCG
Molecule: ribosomal RNA, 784 nt
Filed under: uncultured bacterium
Lineage: Bacteria
Description: SSU rRNA
Rfam family: Bacterial small subunit ribosomal RNA
Source: RNAcentral